UACGAAGGGGGCUAGCGUUGUUCGGAUUUACUGGGCGUAAAGCGCACGUAGGCGGAUCGUUAAGUCGGGGGUGAAAUCCUGGAGCUCAACUCCAGAACUGCCUUCGAUACUGGCGAUCUUGAGUCCGGAAGAGGUGAGUGGAACUCCUAGUGUAGAGGUGGAAUUCGUAGAUAUUAGGAAGAACACCAGUGGCGAAGGCGGCUCACUGGUCCGGUACUGACGCUGGAGGUGCGAAAGCGUGGGGAGCAAACAGGG
RNAcentral lists this ribosomal RNA (255 nucleotides) under uncultured bacterium. Its description in RNAcentral is "partial 16S ribosomal RNA". It matches the Rfam family "Bacterial small subunit ribosomal RNA", at positions 524 to 777 of the family's 1533-position model. The record is from RNAcentral.